Molecule: unclassified non-coding RNA, 272 nt
Filed under: Hevea brasiliensis (rubber tree)
Lineage: Eukaryota; Viridiplantae; Streptophyta; Magnoliopsida; Malpighiales; Euphorbiaceae
Source: RNAcentral
UAAUCCUCCCUCUGUCCCUCACUUCUUCACUUUGCUAAGAAACUUUCUGAGCUCUCCUCGUAUCCAGUUGAAGAAAGCCUCCUCGCAAACCCAUUUUUCUUCUCCUUUGACAUUAGCCCAUCAACUCUACUGUCUUUCUCCCUACCAAAGCCACAGCAAUCAGCUCCUUACCUCAUUCCUUAAUCUCGGCUCCCACCCCCCUUCACUCACCUCUCGCAAAGAACCUCUUGCUCCUCUCACCGACCACAAAACUUACAUGAGACCAAACCCAG